This 1146-nucleotide ribosomal RNA is filed under the name Faecalibacterium prausnitzii. Its description in RNAcentral is "bacterial SSU rRNA". It matches the Rfam family "Bacterial small subunit ribosomal RNA", at positions 1 to 1109 of the family's 1533-position model. The record is from RNAcentral. Lineage: Bacteria; Bacillati; Bacillota; Clostridia; Eubacteriales; Oscillospiraceae.
UUUAUAUGAGAGUUUGAUCCUGGCUCAGGAUGAACGCUGGCGGCGUGCCUAAUACAUGCAAGUCGAACGAGUUCUGAUUAUUGAAAGGUGCUUGCAUCUUGAUUUAAUUUUGAACGAGUGGCGGACGGGUGAGUAACACGUGGGUAACCUGCCCUUAAGUGGGGGAUAACAUUUGGAAACAGAUGCUAAUACCGCAUAAAUCCAAGAACCGCAUGGUUCUUGGCUGAAAGAUGGCGUAAGCUAUCGCUUUUGGAUGGACCCGCGGCGUAUUAGCUAGUUGGUGAGGUAACGGCUCACCAAGGCAAUGAUACGUAGCCGAACUGAGAGGUUGAUCGGCCACAUUGGGACUGAGACACGGCCCAAACUCCUACGGGAGGCAGCAGUAGGGAAUCUUCCACAAUGGACGCAAGUCUGAUGGAGCAACGCCGCGUGAGUGAAGAAGGCUUUCGGGUCGUAAAACUCUGUUGUUGGAGAAGAAUGGUCGGCAGAGUAACUGUUGUCGGCGUGACGGUAUCCAACCAGAAAGCCACGGCUAACUACGUGCCAGCAGCCGCGGUAAUACGUAGGUGGCAAGCGUUAUCCGGAUUUAUUGGGCGUAAAGCGAGCGCAGGCGGUUUUUUAAGUCUGAUGUGAAAGCCCUCGGCUUAACCGAGGAAGUGCAUCGGAAACUGGGAAACUUGAGUGCAGAAGAGGACAGUGGAACUCCAUGUGUAGCGGUGAAAUGCGUAGAUAUAUGGAAGAACACCAGUGGCGAAGGCGGCUGUCUGGUCUGUAACUGACGCUGAGGCUCGAAAGCAUGGGUAGCGAACAGGAUUAGAUACCCUGGUAGUCCAUGCCGUAAACGAUGAAUGCUAGGUGUUGGAGGGUUUCCGCCCUUCAGUGCCGCAGCUAACGCAUUAAGCAUUCCGCCUGGGGAGUACGACCGCAAGGUUGAAACUCAAAGGAAUUGACGGGGGCCCGCACAAGCGGUGGAGCAUGUGGUUUAAUUCGAAGCAACGCGAAGAACCUUACCAGGUCUUGACAUCUUUUGAUCACCUGAGAGAUCAGGUUUCCCCUUCGGGGGCAAAAUGACAGGUGGUGCAUGGUUGUCGUCAGCUCGUGUCGUGAGAUGUUGGGUUAAGUCCCGCAACGAGCGCAACCCUUAUG